RNAcentral lists this ribosomal RNA (468 nucleotides) under uncultured bacterium. RNAcentral's name for it is "partial 16S ribosomal RNA". It matches the Rfam family "Bacterial small subunit ribosomal RNA", at positions 28 to 507 of the family's 1533-position model. The record is from RNAcentral.
GAUGAACGCUGGCGGCGUGCUUAACACAUGCAGGUCGAACGGAAAGGCCAGUGCUUGCACUGGUACUCGAGUGGCGAACGGGUGAGUAACACGUGGGUGAUCUGCCCUGUACUUCGGGAUAAGCUUGGGAAACUGGGUCUAAUACCGGAUAGGACAACUUUUUGGAUAUUGUUGUGGAAAGCUUUUGCGGUAUGGGAUGAGCUCGCGGCCUAUCAGCUUGUUGGUGGGGUAAUGGCCUACCAAGGCGUCGACGGGUAGCCGGCCUGAGAGGGUGUACGGCCACAUUGGGACUGAGAUACGGCCCAGACUCCUACGGGAGGCAGCAGUGGGGAAUAUUGCACAAUGGGCGCAAGCCUGAUGCAGCGACGCCGCGUGGGGGAUGAAGGCCUUCGGGUUGUAAACUCCUUUCGCUAGGGACGAAGCUUUUUUGUGACGGUACCUGGAGAAGAAGCACCGGCUAACUACGUG